CCUACGGGCUGCAGCAGUGGGGAAUAUUGCACAAUGGGCGCAAGCCUGAUGCAGCCAUGCCGCGUGUGUGAAGAAGGCCUUCGGGUUGUAAAGCACUUUCAGCAGGGAGGAAGGCGGUGAGGUUAAUAACCUCAUCGAUUGACGUUACCCGCAGAAGAAGCACCGGCUAACUCCGUGCCAGCAGCCGCGGUAAUACGGAGGGUGCAAGCGUUAAUCGGAAUUACUGGGCGUAAAGCGCACGCAGGCGGUUUGUUAAGUCGGAUGUGAAAUCCCCGGGCUCAACCUGGGAACUGCAUUCGAAACUGGCAAGCUUGAGUCUUGUAGAGGGGGGUAGAAUUCCAGGUGUAGCGGUGAAAUGCGUAGAGAUCUGGAGGAAUACCGGUGGCGAAGGCGGCCCCCUGGACGAAGACUGACGCUCAGGUGCGAAAGCGUGGGGAGCAAACAGGAUUAGAUACCCUUGUAGUC
This 465-nucleotide ribosomal RNA is filed under the name uncultured bacterium. RNAcentral's name for it is "bacterial SSU rRNA". It matches the Rfam family "Bacterial small subunit ribosomal RNA", at positions 338 to 795 of the family's 1533-position model. The record is from RNAcentral.